Molecule: non-coding RNA, 4627 nt
Organism: Taeniopygia guttata (zebra finch)
Lineage: Eukaryota; Metazoa; Chordata; Aves; Passeriformes; Estrildidae
Source: RefSeq, a predicted model, not a curated record
GGGAGGGUGAGGUUCAGUGAGCUUUGACAGAAGUAAAACCCACGCGUAGAUGGGUAUAGCUAGCAGCAUCGCUGGGAGUAAACGCCUCAGUCCCCCUGAGGAUUCACUUAAUUGUGUAAAACAAUGAAUUGCGAGCACAGCUCCGUCUGUGCUCUGAGAAAUGGGUCCUGGUGAAGGAAACAGUUUUAUAAAGCAUGUCUUCCCCUUAAGGUGUGAGGACAGGAAAGAACUCCCGUCUUUGGGCUUCUCCUUUUCUACCUAUUUGACUUGAGUUCGGUCAUACCCAAUUUUCAGGUUGAUGAGAAGAAAUUCAGGUAUGUAUUUACCUUUGACAUUUUUCUUUGUUUACAAAAAAUCUUAGAAAAUCGGGAGGUUAUUCUUUUGCUCGAUAUGCCGAUGCUUUUUCCAAGCGAACACAUCACGUACGCUCCCUGUCACUCAGCUUCCUGCACCAGUUCUUUGGCUUUUGCCAGCCCAUCAUGAGCCUCCUCUGGCUCCUGCACCGCGGCUGUGACUGGCCCCGCCUCAUUCAGCGCUACAGAGAGCGACCGCUCCAUGCGCCAGCUUCGACACGGGCUGACUCACUCCACAGCUUCAGUGCCACUUCAAACAUGGUAGUCGUUCUCAUCUGCAUUUAACAACUAAUGAGUUCCCUUAGUAUUCGAAAUCCAUCUUUGCUGCCACACACUUACAAAGAGGACAAGAUGCAACACAGCUCUGCAAUAUACAGUGAAAAAAUGUACUGCAGUAUUCUUGGAAAUGCUCUCCCGCAGAAGAGCACUUCUACUGUACCUUAGCUUCUCAUUGCUGUGGAUUUCCUACUUGUCUGUUUAGACAGACUGGAAUUGUAAAAUUGCAUGCAGUAAUUUGAUUAAUAGUCCCUAAUUUUGCUCAGGAUUAAAAGAGAAAAAACACUAGUCUGCGAAUUAAGUGUUGCUAAAAUAGCAUCCUUCUAAUUUUUUUUUUUUAAAUACUCUUGUAUAAGGGAAAUGUCAGUAAGAAGUCUUGCUAUUAAGUUAUGUAACAAAAAAAUACCCAAUCCAAGUAGGGAGAAAGUGGAAGUGUGACCCUAUUUCUGAGUAGCCAGGUAUCUGGAGGUUAUUUGAAUUACAUCAGUCACCUGCUGUGAGUAUUAGUCAUACAAAUACUGCACUAAGUAUUGAAAGGCAAUAAGCUUCUUUAACUCUCAGAAAGUACUUAUUUCUUGAGAUAACAGCUUUUGGCAGGACAAAAAAGAUGAUACAGAGAUAUUGAAGAGGUAUUAUUCUGUCCAGGAUCAUGUCCAACCAUGGGAAACAACCCCAUUUUAGUUUCCUGUUGAUUUUGAUUACUGCCAACAUAUCUGUGUGAGGAAGGAGAUUUGAGGUUGAAGGCAGCAAAGUUUGAAAAAAUGCAAAAAGCAGGAACGUGAGACAUGCAAGGGCCAUAUCUCACUUAAGUUCUGGGUGCACAUUUCUAUUUAUUGACAAUAGAAAACCCUACUGCCUGGAUUUGCUUGAAUACCAGUUGAUAUAACAUUAUAGAGUAGAACUUACUGAUUCAAACAGGAGGUGCUCCUGUUGGAUAAAGGACCUUACAAGUUGAGACAAAACAAGCAGGAUAAAGCAGACAGCUACAGAACCUAAAAGAAACAAUACUUAACAGUCCCUUCAAUUGUCCUGAAGAUCUUAGUUUAACAAAGCCUACAUGUCUGUAUUUUAUAUCAUGUGUAUGUGUACACCAGCAUUGUCACAAAGUACCUUGUUGCAGAGCUGAGAUUAAAAUACCAGCUCCAUACUAAACUCUCUUGAGAACAAUGGGAAAUUGUCCUAGAACAAAGGCAGUUUCUUUUAGGGCCUGUGGAGAAAACUGGAAAAAAUGCAGUUAAAUUUUCAAAGCUGAUGUGUGACAAACCUAAAAUGACCAGCACCAUAGAGCACAAAAGCAGCCAAUCUGUACAAACUAAUUUUCAAGCUGCACCCCCCUGGCUAUCUCUGCUUUAAGUACCCUGAGAAAAUCCAAUUUAUUCGCAAAGUGUUGCCGUACAGUUGCAGAGGGCUCUGCAGCUGGUUUAGGUUUCUUUUCUUGUGUAGUACUACACAAAGCAGUUGCAUAUACAACAUGGAGACAACAAAGGCACGAAAGAAAGGAGAGCUCCAGUCUUUCAAGGAAACAGAAGGAAAGUAACUUUUCACAGCAAACUGUAUUAGUGGCUUCAACUGCAAGGUGCAAAGUAUAUUCCUUGACACCUGAAAAACAAAGACUCAUUAUCUACUUAAGGUAUUUGCCAGUAUUACAAGUAAUCCCUGAGAACAUGUUGUUCUGAUUUGGCAAGUGCUUCAGUAUACACUUGUGUUCUACAUUCAAAUGUGACCUGUGCAUAUCUGGUCACCAGAUUUGAGGCCAAAAUGUAGGGACAGUAAAUAUUUGACCUAUACUUUUCCCAGUAUUAGGCAUGAAGAAUACUUGUUUUUUUCCAGCUCUAAUUAGGUUAUCUUGCUUUAACAUUAAAAAAUAAAUCCAUCCAUGAGUAAUAAGUCCAGCAUAAUUGUUUUCAAUCGAAAUUAUUAAAAAACAUAGUAGUAAGAGUCAAAGGUACCCUGUAACAGGAAAUGUAUUAGACAUUGCAGUAUGAGAAGAAGCAGGGUAAGCUACAAGGCUGAAGUCACAGCAGCUUCUCAGUGUAAGAGAAUUUGCAGGGAAACUACUGCCCAUCUGAGAAAACAUGCAAGUAGGGGCUUUGGGCACUCUGCCUACCAAAAGGAGACAUUCAUCAGCCCAGCAGUACAGAUCUCACUGACUGCAAUGAGCAAUCUCACUCAAACAAAAACAAACUCAACACAAAUUGUCACACAGAGCCAGCCUCAUCCGAUUACGUGCACUUCCUUAUAUCCUGUGGCUGUAAUUUAGAACUGUGAACCUCCACACACUGGCACAAGUUAUUCCUGUGGGUUUCUUUGCAAACAGCAUAAUUUCAUUCUCAUCUAUGCUAAUAGUCAGACAGGCCCCAUUCAUCACUGCCCCCACCUCUGAGGAAAGAAAUUGAAAAACAGGACAGCAGAAUCUGGGUUAGAUAAAAAUUAGAUAGAAAUCAUACCAAGAUCACCACAAAACUCAAGUCUCCUCUGGCAGCUAUGUACACAAUGUGAACUGAUCUCAUGUGAUUCUGAAGUAAGGAAUAACAUUUGUCAGAUACUGUACGAAAAGAUCCUAUUUUUAAAAGAAAAAUGUAAUUUGAUUGUGAAAUACUGCAAGUUAUAGAAGAUUCCAUUGCAGACGUGAUGAAAAUAUUCAUAAAAAAAUGCAGGUCACCACUGAAAGGUCAAGGCCAAAAGAAGCCUGUUCCACCAAAUCUCUCAAAGGUCAAAAGAAAAGAAAAAACCUAAGACAUAAAUAUUACAUUCAUCAAAUUGAAGUAAUAGUUAUUCCAGAAUAAGACUUGACAGAAAAGAUCAAGCAUUUUUCCCAAAAGUAGUUUCUCAACUCAGCAAUUUAACUUUAGCAGUUUGCAGCAGCAAUGCUGGAAUAGUGGGAAUACACUUAAGCACUACUUUAAGUGCUAUAGUUAUGAGUAAAAUAAUCCAAAUUACUAUUGCAGAAUACAUGACUGUAAGCAACAAAUUAAAAUACAUAUCAGUUUACUCUCUAUGCAAAAUACUUUGCAUGCAUAAGGUUUUAACAUUUAAAUAACUGCCUGGCUAUUGGGUGGAAUUCAGUGUCAUUCUGGAUUACUGGGGCAGAGAGAAAAAAUUUCAUGAACACACAGAUUGACAGUAUACUUUUAUUAACAUAUCUUACAAUGCCAAUUAUUGUAUUCCUAGUUUUGUACUCUUCUGAUGUGUUAUAAAGAUUGAUUUAGAGUCUACAGUAAUGUACUGUACUUAAAUGAUCAUUCAUACAGGAUAUCACACCAGAACAUUUGAGACACACACACCACUCUAGUUUGGACCUGUUAUUUUUCAAGGUUAGCUUAAUAAAGUAGGAUUUAAAAAGUUAUGGGGGAAAUAAAAAUCCUUGUUUAGCAGCAUGCAAGGAUAUUCAAGUACAAUUUUUCAACCAAGACAUUUUUUGUUGUUUUUAAAUGGACUGGUGACUAAUUCACCAGUACUAUAAUAACCACUAUGAAAUACUCAAAUGUUGAAGUUAAGGCUAAUAGUUUUACUUCACAUCCAUAUGCACAAUCAGAGAACAUUCUGUUUUAAAUAAAACACAGUAAUCAAAUUCUGGACACACUAUCUCUCGUAAAUAAAGCAUUGGAGCUUCAAACUACAGAUCACUCAAGUUCAUGAGCCCUGUAAUAAUGUUAUGCUGGCAAUGUACAGAAUCUUUUUGCUCUUUAACCACACUUACAAAAUGGCCUGAUAUUCUUAAUGAGCAAUGCAAAAAUAUCACAGGCAGAACUUAUAAUACAGUAUCAAAAAAGUAAUAUUUUGGAAAAGACACAGCCAUUUAGUCAGUGAAACAGAGUAAUUCUAAUCUUAUAGGAAGUAUUGUAAUACUUUUGAAAUAUAUAUAUAUAUUUAUAUGUAUGUAUAAAAAACAGUAUCCUUUAUUGUAGGGUUUUUCAAAUUGCAGGUAUCCAGAAAAACUCAUCCUUUUCCUUCAGUGUGUUCUUGAUUGCUAUACAGUCAUUUUAUUUCCCCUAUAC